RNAcentral lists this unclassified non-coding RNA (680 nucleotides) under Hevea brasiliensis (rubber tree). The record is from RNAcentral. Lineage: Eukaryota; Viridiplantae; Streptophyta; Magnoliopsida; Malpighiales; Euphorbiaceae.
GAUAUCGAGCAAUUCUCUUCAAGGAAUGAGAGAAUUUGCAGCGGAGAUCGAAAGCUUAGGCAGGUUAAGGCACAAACACUUGAUCAACCUUCAAGGCUGGUGCAAGAACAAAAAUGAUCUUCUCCUAGUGUAUGACUAUGUCCCAAAUGGAAGUCUUGAUUCAUUACUUUACAGACAGAAGAGGGACAUUGUUUUAACAUGGGAACAGAGAUUUAACAUCAUCAAAGGGAUUGCUGCAGGGCUUCUUUACUUGCAUGAAGAAUGGGAACAAUGUGUUGUGCAUAGAGAUAUAAAAUCCAGCAAUAUUAUGUUGGACUCAAAUUUCAAUGCUAAACUUGGAGAUUUCGGUUUAGCAAGGAUGAUGGAACAUGGAAAAGGUCUGCAAACGACAGUUUUGGCAGGGACUAUGGGUUACAUGGCUCCUGAGUGUCUCAGGACAGCCAAGGCCAGCAGGGAAUCAGAUGUGUACAGUUUUGGGGUGGUUGCUUUGGAGAUAGCAUGUGGAAGAAGACCAAUAAACUCCAUGGCUAAUGAAGAAGAAGUGCAUAUGGUGUCAUGGGUUUGGGAGCUCUACGGAAGAGGAAAGCUGCUUGAAGCUGCUGAUCCUAGACUAUGUGGAGAUUUUGAUAAGCAGGAAAUGAAGAGGUUAAUGAUUGUUGGGCUCUGGUGUGCUCACCCAG